Molecule: ribosomal RNA, 321 nt
Filed under: uncultured eukaryote
Lineage: Eukaryota
Description: partial 18S ribosomal RNA
Rfam family: Eukaryotic small subunit ribosomal RNA
Source: RNAcentral
CCCUUAGAUGUUCUGGGCCGCACGCGCGCUACAAUGGUCUUCGCAAACGGAUGCAUUCUCGAAGGAGAAUGCCAAUCUUGGAAUCUAUGCCUUGGUCGGGACAGUUGCUUGCAAUUUUUCGACUCGAACCAGGAAUUCCUUGUAAUCGUGAUUCAUCACAUCACGAUGAUUACGUCCCUGCCCUUUGUACACACCGCCCGUCGCACCUACCGAUUGAAUGGUCCGGUGAGGACUCGGGAUUGUGGUUUAGCUCCUUCAUUGGGGCCUGACUGCGAGAACUUGUCCGAACCUUAUCAUUUAAAGGAAGGUGAAGUCGUAACA